Molecule: long non-coding RNA, 92 nt
Organism: Sapajus apella (tufted capuchin)
Lineage: Eukaryota; Metazoa; Chordata; Mammalia; Primates; Cebidae
Exons: 3
Source: RefSeq, a predicted model, not a curated record
AUAAUUUUGUUAAUUGCAAUCUUCAUGUUGUACAUUAAAUCUCUAGACUUUUUCAUCCUACAUAUUUGCUACUUUGUAUCCUUUCACCUAUA